AGCGAACGCUGGCGGCAGGCUUAACACAUGCAAGUCGAGCGGGCACUUUCGGGUGUCAGCGGCGGACGGGUGAGUAACGCGUGGGAACGUGCCCUCUGGUUCGGAAUAACUCAGGGAAACUUGGGCUAAUACCGGAUACGCCCUUUUGGGGAAAGGCUUGCUGCCGGAGGAUCGGCCCGCGUCUGAUUAGCUAGUUGGUGAGGUAACGGCUCACCAAGGCGACGAUCAGUAGCUGGUCUGAGAGGAUGAUCAGCCACACUGGGACUGAGACACGGCCCAGACUCCUACGGGAGGCAGCAGUGGGGAAUAUUGGACAAUGGGCGCAAGCCUGAUCCAGCCAUGCCGCGUGAGUGAUCAAGGCCUUAGGGUUGUAAAGCUCUUUUAUCCGGGACGAUAAUGACGGUACCGGAGGAAUAAGCCCCGGCUAACUUCGUG
This 435-nucleotide ribosomal RNA is filed under the name uncultured bacterium. RNAcentral describes it as "partial 16S ribosomal RNA". It matches the Rfam family "Bacterial small subunit ribosomal RNA", at positions 29 to 507 of the family's 1533-position model. The record is from RNAcentral.